Molecule: long non-coding RNA, 1167 nt
Organism: Panicum virgatum (switchgrass)
Lineage: Eukaryota; Viridiplantae; Streptophyta; Magnoliopsida; Poales; Poaceae
Exons: 2
Source: RefSeq, a predicted model, not a curated record
CGCGCCUCCGAGAAAUAUCUGGAACAACAAGUCCUGUGCAUCAGUUCCGCGCUCGAGCGCCAUGGACGAGGAAGGGGAUCUCCCCGAUGGCAACGGGGGCUGCUGGUGCGGACGCAUCCUCGUCCGCUCGUAGCAGAACACACCGCCGCCGCCGCGGCGUGCGGCCACCGCACGAGCACCUCCCUGUCGGCGCAGACCGCACGGAGCCCCGCCCCCGCCGCGGCGUGCAGCCACCGCACGGGCACUUCCCCGGUCGGCGCAGACCGUAGGGAGCCCCGCCGCAGCGGCGUGUGGCCAUCGCUCCGGCACCACCUUGCUCGCUCGGCGCGGCCCGUAGGGAGCGGGCACCGUGCGGGGCUGCGGGCACCUCCUCGCCCGCUCGGUGCAGCGUCUCUAUUGCAACAGCUCAAGCUUGCUUGGGUGCGGUUGCUGCUAGCUUUGUCGCUGCAACUUCAGCUCGUCUCCUCACAGAAAACUAGAGCAGGAAGAGGAAGGCAGGAAGCUUGGUCGCUGCAAGAACAAUGGAGGUGGUGCUCGAUAAUGCUGCUGGCAUGGUGGCUGGCUACAUGGCCAGGCAGCACCGGGGCUUGAGGAAGAGGAAGUGGGGCAAGUGGGUGUCGGAGAUCAUCAGAUCAGGGAGCCCAGCAAGAAGAUGCGCGCAUCUGGCUUGGCAGCUUUGAGUCCCCGGAGAUGGCCGCGGUGGCAUGACGUCGCCGCCGUUUCCGGCCCGACCGGCCUCGGCGGCGGCGACAGCGACAGCUCCUGCAACAGCUUCCUUGCUCGCUCGGCGUGCGGCCACCGAGCCGGCGCCUCCUCGCCCACUCAACGCAGCCCGCAGGGCCGAUUCCGAGCGCGGCCUCCGCCGACGACCCCGCGCGCUGGCGAUGGUGCCAAAUCAAUGGAGGUACUGGACAGAGGGUGGACGAGUUUGGGCCAGACAGAUCUAUCUUCUGCGGGUGGCGAGUUGUGGGUGAUGAUGCACAGAUUUAGGUGCAAAACUCGAUUUCAGCAAGGUGCAAGUGAGCAAUAAAACCUACUCAUGUAAAGGUGAUAUGAAUCUCAAUGAUGUUUUAUUUCAAAAGGAAAAGAAUCUCAUCCAUAUCUUAAGUUGUACAUUAUUUGUUAUUACCUAAUGCAAGACUUAAUUGAUAGGAUAUGAGAUAUGCA